RNAcentral lists this small RNA (412 nucleotides) under Arabidopsis thaliana (thale cress). Its description in RNAcentral is "ATSL084700". Lineage: Eukaryota; Viridiplantae; Streptophyta; Magnoliopsida; Brassicales; Brassicaceae. The record is from RNAcentral.
GUUUUAUAUAUUCUGCUAUUAUAUAUGAGUGUAUGUACUUUUUUUUUGCCGUCUAAAUUUAUUAUUUAUUACAAAUUAUGAAAACUGUUACAUAGACGAUUCUACUACACACAAUUCCUUCCGACCUUUAUUAGAUCCACGACAGACGACACAUUCUUCUCAUUCUCCAUGCGUUUGAUGGAUAUCUUCAACAUUUUCUCUGCGUAAAAUCUUGGCGAACGGCUAUAAUUGUACUUCGUUGUAGACCUCAUGUACACUUGCCUCCAUUAAUCUGCAAAUUUGCUAAUAAACUGUAGUAGCUAGAACUCGAACCCCAGACCUCUUGGUGUAGAAACAUUAAUGAACAUUUGGUCAACUAUUGGGCCAAGGGGGCUUCCACAGUGUAUGUGUAUGUACUUCUUAAUAAUAUUUU